CAUAAACAUGAAAUCGCCUGUUUGACGAAGAGUCGUUAAAUAAUUGAUACUCUAAAAAAGUAGUUUAUUUGCUGAUUAUAGGAUGUGAAGUAUUUUAAAGGUACAUGAACAAUACGCGUUUACGGAGCAUGUGGGAUCUUUUCAGCAAAGAAAACACAUUGUUCAGGGGCACAUGAUUCUCAUUGUCAGCAUCAUUUUAGCAAAUAACUUGAAGAUUUCAAUGAGUCAAGAGGAGAUAAUAUAUUAAAUAUUAAGGUAUAUAUUACACAUUGAUAGUGAAACGAAAAGAAUCUUUUAUACAGAUUGAAGGGAACGAGAAAGCGUUGGAAAAGAAGGAAAGUUGCGGCUGUUCUUAACGGCGCCUCGACAUUGAAAAAUCCUCCAACCUAUUCGAAUCGAGGGUAAAAUAAGCGCACUUGGUACACCACGCAAAAUUACGCUACGAUACGCUUGGUUUCACAGGCGAUCUACUUUUCAGAGAUAACUGGAGUAAUUUACAUAUUUAGAUGAACUAAAAUCUUUGCCUGCUAGUGAAGAGAAUAAUUAUUACACAUUUUAAUUCAAGAACAAACUUGCAAUUUUAAUUUGCUUUUGUCCUGAUUGCAACGUGGUCAACUUUGUUCUCCAACAAACGACGAACCGUUUUAAAUUGUGCAACGUUAAAUGAACAGAUUGCAUGCAAUCUAAAACCACACCAUCUUCAAAGGGCACUUUCUCACGAUGUUCUUUCAUGUCUACAAACCUUUAACAGCAAUUACGUUGCACGGAAUCAGGUCUCGAAUUUUGUUACGGAAUAUUAUCGAAGAAGGUGUUAAAUAAUUUCACUGAAACUGAAAUGGAUCGUCACGCUCGGCCAAAGAAUGGUAAAUCUCAUUUCACGGAUCCAUCGAUUCCGGGAAGAGUGCUGUAAUACAGGAAACGAUAUACGCAACAGGGACAAAGGAUACUUAAUGGGGGUGAAAUCGUUUGCAAUGUUCAUUCUUCGACGAGCCAUUGUUCUAUUUUGUCGCUUAUCGGUUGUGCAUUAGUGCGAUCUUGUAGUUUCUUGUAGGUAAAUCUUGUUUCACUCUUGUUCUUCUCUUGUGUGUAAGGAAAUUUUGAAAUCACUUUUACUUAAUGGCAUUGUUGCUAGAAAACGAAAGUUUCAAGAUAAUUAUUUAUAAAAAGUGGCAAAGACGAGCAUUCUUAUUGUAGUUUAUAAAAAGGCAAUGAAACUAUGUUAAAAAUUUGUUUUAAAUGAUUAAUAUUUUACUGUAAAACAUUAAUGCAAUUAUAUUUUAAUUUAAACAUAAAUUCUAUAGUUGCAUAACGACUAUUUAUCUUCUCAUUCAUUGUCUUCAGAUGGUAGAUCAUUUGUAGCUACUGACAUUAAUUGCCAUUAAUUUAUGUCAAGUAAACGUAACACAAUCA
Molecule: long non-coding RNA, 1410 nt
Organism: Osmia bicornis bicornis
Lineage: Eukaryota; Metazoa; Arthropoda; Insecta; Hymenoptera; Megachilidae
Exons: 6
Source: RefSeq, a predicted model, not a curated record